GUAACGUUAUGUGGCUCAUGACUGUAUAACUUAUUGAAUAUUAUGGAAUGUGAUUUGAUCUAAACUCAAAACAAUGUCAGUAUAUCUAGGCGGUUCAGGUCCGGUGGAGAUGGUGGUGGUGAGAUGCAGGGAGAUGGAGAGAAAAAUGGGAGCACCACCUUUCUUUACAAAGCCAAAAGCUACAUCCCCAUUGACCUAGAUGUCAUAAGAGUUUUUUUUCCCCAAAGGGCACCAUGAUGGAGAAUCGGCUUUCCCAAGGACACACAUACCUUUGUCACACCAAGCACCACCUUGUCCUCAGACUGUUCUUGUACUGGCUUUGUUUACAAGCCAGAUUUUUUUUAAAAUGAGAAAAAUCAAAUGUUCACUUAAGAAGUGAAAUUUGAAUAAAAUUACAGUUUCAGGCAAAGCCUAUAUUAUUUUUAAAAUCAGCGAAUAAAGCAAGGGAUAUUAAAUCAUGAUCUUCACCU
RNAcentral lists this long non-coding RNA (470 nucleotides) under Homo sapiens (human). RNAcentral describes it as "HSALNT0065193". The record is from RNAcentral. Lineage: Eukaryota; Metazoa; Chordata; Mammalia; Primates; Hominidae.